Molecule: ribosomal RNA, 498 nt
Filed under: uncultured bacterium
Lineage: Bacteria
Description: partial 16S ribosomal RNA
Rfam family: Bacterial small subunit ribosomal RNA
Source: RNAcentral
GACGAACGCUGGCGGCGUGCCUAAUACAUGCAAGUCGAGCGAGAGCGACCGGUGCUUGCACUGGUCAAUCUAGUGGCGAACGGGUGAGUAACACGUGGGUAACCUGCCCAUCAGAGGGGGAUAACAUCCGGAAACGGAGGCUAAAACCGCAUAGGUCUUCGAACCGCAUGGUUUGAAGAGGAAAAGAGGCGCAAGCUUCUGCUGAUGGAUGGACCCGCGGUGCAUUAGCUAGUUGGUGAGGUAACGGCUCACCAAGGCCGUGAUGCAUAGCCGACCUGAGAGGGUGAUCGGCCACAUUGGGACUGAGACACGGCCCAAACUCCUACGGGAGGCAGCAGUAGGGAAUCUUCCGCAAUGGACGCAAGUCUGACGGAGCAACGCCGCGUGAGUGAAGAAGGUUUUCGGAUCGUAAAACUCUGUUGUUAGAGAAGAACAAGUGCUAGAGUAACUGUUAGCGCCUUGACGGUAUCUAACCAGAAAGCCACGGCUAACUACGUG